CUGGCUCAGAACGAACGCUGGCGGCAGGCCUAAAACAUGCAAGUUGAACGGCUGUAGCAAUACAGCAGUAGCGCACGGGUGAGUAAUAUAUGGGAACAUGUCUUUUGGUGGGGAAUAUUCUCUGGAAACGGAGAGCAAUACCGCAUAAGCCCUACGGGGGAAAGAUUUAUCGCCGAUAGAGUGGCCCAUAUUGGAUUAGCUAGUUGGUUGGGUAACGGCUGACCAAGGCGACGAUCCAUAGCUGAUCUGAGAGGAUGAUCAGCCACACUGGGACUGAGACACGGCCCAGACUCCUACGGGAGGCAGCAGUUAGGAAUAUUGGACAAUGGGGGCAACCCUGAUCCCAGCCAUGCCGCGUGAGUGUUAAGGCCUUCGGGUUGUAAAGCUCUUUUGUAUGGGAAAAUGAUGAUGGUACCAUAAGAAUAAGCACCGGCUAACUUCGUGCCAGCCGCGGC
Molecule: ribosomal RNA, 455 nt
Filed under: uncultured bacterium
Lineage: Bacteria
Description: bacterial SSU rRNA
Rfam family: Bacterial small subunit ribosomal RNA
Source: RNAcentral